UCGGGUAUGGUGUAACGGCUAACAUUGCCGCCUCUCAUUCAUGAUCGCGGCAGCUCGGGGUUCGAUUCCCCGUACCCGAA
This 80-nucleotide transfer RNA is filed under the name Psilocybe cubensis. It matches the Rfam family "tRNA". From Rfam's summary of the family: Transfer RNA (tRNA) molecules are approximately 80 nucleotides in length. Their secondary structure includes four short double-helical elements and three loops (D, anti-codon, and T loops). Lineage: Eukaryota; Fungi; Basidiomycota; Agaricomycetes; Agaricales; Agrocybaceae. The record is from Rfam by way of RNAcentral.